GGCAAGAUGGCCGAGCGGUCUAAGGCGCCACGUUAAGGUAUACCCUUAAUUCCUAUCCUCUGGAUUCCGUGGUCCGAAAGGGCGUGGGUUCGAAUCCCACUCUUGUCA
This 108-nucleotide transfer RNA is filed under the name Collariella sp. IMI 366227. RNAcentral describes it as "tRNA-Leu". It matches the Rfam family "tRNA". Rfam says of the family: Transfer RNA (tRNA) molecules are approximately 80 nucleotides in length. Their secondary structure includes four short double-helical elements and three loops (D, anti-codon, and T loops). Lineage: Eukaryota; Fungi; Ascomycota; Sordariomycetes; Sordariales; Chaetomiaceae. The record is from RNAcentral.